CAGCAGUCGCCGCGGUAAAACGUAGGGUGCAAGCGUUAAUCGGAAUUACUGGGCGUAAAGCGUGCGCAGGCGGUUAUAUAAGUCAGACGUGAAAUCCCCGGGCUCAACCUGGGAACUGCAUUUGAGACUGUAUGGCUAGAGUGUGUCAGAGGGGGGUAGAAUUCCACGUGUAGCAGUGAAAUGCGUAGAUAUGUGGAGGAAUACCGAUGGCGAAGGCAGCCCCCUGGGAUAACACUGACGCUCAUGCACGAAAGCGUGGGGAGCAAACAGGAUUAGAUACCCCCGUAGUCCCUGUCUCUUAUAC
This 304-nucleotide ribosomal RNA is filed under the name uncultured bacterium. RNAcentral describes it as "partial 16S ribosomal RNA". It matches the Rfam family "Bacterial small subunit ribosomal RNA", at positions 509 to 807 of the family's 1533-position model. The record is from RNAcentral.